GACGAACGCUGGCGGCGUGCUUAACACAUGCAAGUCGAACGAUGAUGCUGGUGCUUGCACCAGUGGAUUAGUGGCGAACGGGUGAGUAACACGUGAGUAACCUGCCCCUCACUUCGGGAUAAGCCUGGGAAACUGGGUCUAAUACCGGGUAUGACUGCCGAUCGCAUGGUUGGUGGUGGAAAGAUUUUUUGGUGGGGGAUGGACUCGCGGCCUAUCAGCUUGUUGGUGAGGUAGUGGCUCACCAAGGCGGUGACGGGUAGCCGGCCUGAGAGGGCGACCGGCCACACUGGGACUGAGACACGGCCCAGACUCCUACGGGAGGCAGCAGUGGGGAAUAUUGCACAAUGGGCGAAAGCCUGAUGCAGCGACGCCGCGUGAGGGAUGACGGCCUUCGGGUUGUAAACCUCUUUCAGCAGGGACGAAUAAGGACGGUACCUGCAGAAGAAGCACCGGCUAACUACGUGCCAGCCGCCGCCGUAACAC
Molecule: ribosomal RNA, 483 nt
Filed under: uncultured bacterium
Lineage: Bacteria
Description: bacterial SSU rRNA
Rfam family: Bacterial small subunit ribosomal RNA
Source: RNAcentral